This 349-nucleotide long non-coding RNA is filed under the name Linum usitatissimum (flax). RNAcentral's name for it is "long non-coding RNA (LUSI_LNC003803)". Lineage: Eukaryota; Viridiplantae; Streptophyta; Magnoliopsida; Malpighiales; Linaceae. The record is from RNAcentral.
CCACCACCACCACCAUCUUUCCCUUUCUUGCCACAACACCAUCAUGACCACCAACACCUACUCAUGAUGAACAACAUUGAUCAAGAUCACCACCACCACCAAAUCUUGAUCACCAACGUUAACAACGACGAUGAUGGCGACGAUGGUGCUAAACAAGAUGAUCACGACCAUCAAAUCUUGAUCACCAACGUUAACAACGACGAUGAUGGCGACGAUGGUGCUAAACAAGAUGAUCACGACCAUCAAAUCUUGAUCCCUUAUAAUGACAAUGAUGAUGAUGAUGAUCUACUCAUGAUGCCAUCAUCACCUAAGCUUUCUGACCAAGCACCACCAAAGCCAGAGGACCAAG